Molecule: ribosomal RNA, 253 nt
Filed under: uncultured bacterium
Lineage: Bacteria
Description: partial 16S ribosomal RNA
Rfam family: Bacterial small subunit ribosomal RNA
Source: RNAcentral
UACGGAGGGAGCUAGCGUUGUUCGGAAUUACUGGGCGUAAAGCGCACGUAGGCGGCUUUGUAAGUUAGAGGUGAAAGCCCGGAGCUCAACUCCGGAACUGCCUUUAAGACUGCAUCGCUUGAAUCCAGGAGAGGUGAGUGGAAUUCCGAGCGCAGAGGUGAAAUUCGUAGAUAUUCGGAAGAACACCAGUGGCGAAGGCGGCUCACUGGACUGGUAUUGACGCUGAGGUGCGAAAGCGUGGGGAGCAAACAGG